This 24-nucleotide non-coding RNA is filed under the name Arabidopsis thaliana (thale cress). The record is from RNAcentral. Lineage: Eukaryota; Viridiplantae; Streptophyta; Magnoliopsida; Brassicales; Brassicaceae.
UAGCAUGGAGGAUGACCGGUGCUC